GCCUUCCCUGACCACUCUGUUAAAAAUACUGCCUUCCUUCUGAUCUCGGAAGCCAAGCAGGGUCGGGCCUGGUUAGUACUUGGAUGGGAGACCACCUAGGAAGACCAGGGGCUGUAGGCA
This is a ribosomal RNA of Pteropus vampyrus (large flying fox), 120 nucleotides long. NCBI's taxonomy places the organism in Eukaryota, Metazoa, Chordata, Mammalia, Chiroptera, Pteropodidae. The record is from Ensembl.